RNAcentral lists this transfer RNA (72 nucleotides) under Bacteriophage sp. Its description in RNAcentral is "tRNA-Val". It matches the Rfam family "tRNA". Rfam says of the family: Transfer RNA (tRNA) molecules are approximately 80 nucleotides in length. Their secondary structure includes four short double-helical elements and three loops (D, anti-codon, and T loops). Further hydrogen bonds mediate the characteristic L-shaped molecular structure. tRNAs have two regions of fundamental functional importance: the anti-codon, which is responsible for specific mRNA codon recognition, and the 3' end, to which the tRNAs corresponding amino acid is attached (by aminoacyl-tRNA synthetases). tRNAs cope with the degeneracy of the genetic code in two manners: having more than one tRNA (with a specific anti-codon) for a particular amino acid; and 'wobble' base-pairing, i.e. permitting non-standard base-pairing at the 3rd anti-codon position. RNAcentral also lists the same sequence under 1 other name. The record is from RNAcentral.
GCUCUGUUAGCUCAGGGGGAGAGCACUAGUCUUACAAACUAGAUGUCAUUGGUUCAAAUCCAAUACAGAGCA